CGGACGGGUGAGUAAUGUCUGGGAAACUGCCUGAUGGAGGGGGAUAACUGCUGGAAACGGUAGCUAAUACCGCAUAACGUCGCAAGUAACCAAAGAGGGGGACCUUCGGGCCUCUUGCCAUCGGAUGUGCCCAGAUGGGAUUAGCUAGUAGGUGGGUAACGGCUCACCUAGGCGACGAUCCCUAGCUGGUCUGAGAGGAUGACCAGCCACACUGGAACUGAGACACGGUCCAG
This 233-nucleotide ribosomal RNA is filed under the name uncultured bacterium. RNAcentral describes it as "partial 16S ribosomal RNA". It matches the Rfam family "Bacterial small subunit ribosomal RNA", at positions 99 to 334 of the family's 1533-position model. The record is from RNAcentral.